RNAcentral lists this small nuclear RNA (107 nucleotides) under Chinchilla lanigera (long-tailed chinchilla). Lineage: Eukaryota; Metazoa; Chordata; Mammalia; Rodentia; Chinchillidae. The record is from RNAcentral.
GUGUACACUUUGGCAGCACAUUUACUAAAAUUGGAAAGAUACAGAGAAGAUUAGCAUGACACCUGCAAAAGGAUGACAUAAGAGCAUGUCAAGAAUCAGCAAUACCC